GAGGUGGUUCACUGUAGUAAUGACAUGUUGUCUAGAGAGGUGGUUCACUGUAGUAAUGACAUGUUGUCAGAGAGGUGGUUCACUGUAGUAAUGACAUGUUGUCAGAGAGGUGGUUCACUGUAGUAAUGACAUGUUGUCUAGAGAGGUGGUUCACUGUAGUAAUGACGUGUUGUCUAGAGAGGUGGUUCACUGUAGUAAUGACAUGUUGUCUAGAGAGGUGGUUCACUGUAGUAAUGACAUGUUGUCUAGAGAGGUGGUUCACUGUAGUAAUGACAUGUUGUCUAGAGAGGUGGUUCACUGUAGUAAUGACAUGUUGUCUAGAGAGGUGGUUCACUGUAGUAAUGACAUGUUGUCUAGAGAGGUGGUUCACUGUAGUAAUGCCGUGUUGUCAGAGAGGUGGUUCACUGUAGUAAUGACAUGUUGUCUAGAGAGGUGGUUCACUGUAGUAAUGACAUGUUGUCAGAGAGGUGGUUCACUGUAGUAAUGACAUGUUGUCUAGAGAGGUGGUUCACUGUAGUAAUGACGUGUUGUCAGAGAGGUGGUUCACUGUAGUAAUGACGUGUUGUCUAGAGAGGUGGUUCGCUGUAGUAAUGACAUGUUGUCAGAGAGGUGGUUCGCUGUAGUAAUGACAUGUUGUCUAGAGAGGUGGUUCACUGUAGUAAUGACAUGGUGUCAGAGAGGUGGUUCGCUGUAGUAAUGACGUGUUGUCUAGAGAGGUGGUUCACUGUAGUAAUGACAUGUUGUCUAGAGAGGUGGUUCACUGUAGUAAUGACAUGUUGUCUAGAGAGGUGGUUCACUGUAGUAAUGACGUGUUGUCUAGAGAGGUGGUUCACUGUAGUAAUGACGUGUUGUCUAGAGAGGUGGUUCACUGUAGUAAUGCCGUGUUGUCUAGAGAGGUGGUUCACUGUAGUAAUGACAUGUUGUCAGAGAGGUGGUUCACUGUAGUAAUGACAUGUUGUCUAGAGAGGUGGUUCACUGUAGUAAUGACAUGUUGUCAGAGAGGUGGUUCACUGUAGUAAUGACGUGUUGUCUAGAGAGGUGGUUCACUGUAGUAAUGACAUGUUGUCUAGAGAGGUGGUUCACUGUAGUAAUGACAUGUUGUCUAGAGAGGUGGUUCACUGUAGUAAUGACAUGUUGUCUAGAGAGGUGGUUCACUGUAGUAAUGACAUGUUGUCAGAGAGGUGGUUCACUGUAGUAAUGCCAUGUUGUCUAGAGAGGUGGUUCACUGUAGUAAUGCCAUGUUGUCUAGAGAGGUGGUUCACUGUAGUAAUGACAUGUUGUCUAGAGAGGUGGUUCACUGUAGUAAUGACAUGUUGUCAGAGAGGUGGUUCACUGUAGUAAUGACAUGUUGUCUAGAGAGGUGGUUCACUGUAGUAAUGACAUGUUGUCAGAGAGGUGGUUCACUGUAGUAAUGACAUGUUGUCUAGAGAGGUGGUUCACUGUAGUAAUGACAUGUUGUCUAGAGAGGUGGUUCACUGUAGUACUGACAUGUUGUCUAGAGAGGUGGUUCACUGUAGUAAUGACCUGUUGUCUAGAGAGGUGGUUCACUGUAGUAAUGACCUGUUGUCUAGAGAGGUGGUUCACUGUAGUAAUGACAUGUUGUCUAGAGAGGUGGUUCACUGUAGUAAUGACCUGUUGUCUAGAGAGGUGGUUCACUGUAGUAAUGACAUGUUGUCUAGAGAGGUGGUUCACUGUAGUAAUGACAUGUUGUCUAGAGAGGUGGUUCACUGUAGUAAUGACAUGUUGUCUAGAGAGGUGGUUCACUGUAGUAAUGACAUGUUGU
Oncorhynchus keta (chum salmon) is the source of this 1783-nucleotide long non-coding RNA. RefSeq lists it as uncharacterized. The transcript is spliced from 3 exons. The record is from RefSeq and is a predicted model, not a curated record. Lineage: Eukaryota; Metazoa; Chordata; Actinopteri; Salmoniformes; Salmonidae.